RNAcentral lists this ribosomal RNA (254 nucleotides) under uncultured bacterium. Its description in RNAcentral is "partial 16S ribosomal RNA". It matches the Rfam family "Bacterial small subunit ribosomal RNA", at positions 524 to 776 of the family's 1533-position model. The record is from RNAcentral.
UACGUAGGGUCCAAGCGUUAUCCGGAAUUACUGGGCGUAAAGAGUUGCGUAGGUGGCAUAGUAAGCAAAUAGUGAAAGCGUACGGCUCAACCGUAUUUCCAUUAUUUGAACUGCUAAGCUUGAGCAUGAGAGAGGUAGCUGGAAUUUCUAGUGUAGGAGUGAAAUCCGUAGAUAUUAGAAGGAACACCGAUGGCGUAGGCAGGCUACUGGCUCAUUGCUGACACUAAGGCACGAAAGCGUGGGGAGCGAACGGG